CACGCAGGCAGGCGGGGGCCCGGGACCUUGCCUCCCUCCUGGGCCCAUGUCCUUCCGCUCACGUGCAGCAGGGCAGCUGAGAGACCAGCUCAGCCCUGGAAAUCCAGCCACACCACAGGCUGCUAGGAGUUGGCUUUGGAAAGAUCUGGUAACAGGGUGUUCCUGCCCUCUUCCCCUCCCUGACCUUUCUGCCUGGGCCCUGCCCCUGCUGCGUUUCGUCAAGUCGACAUGCUCUCAAGAAACCAGGCCAACGCUGCUCUCAGCCCCAUGGAAGGUGCAGAUGGGGACGACAGGCCUUGCUUGGCCUGCGGCAGCUUACCAUCAAAUCCGAGGGACAUGGGGAGUUCCCGCUGUGGCAGGGCCACAGGAGUUUUGCAGAGCAGACGUAGAGAGCAGGGAGUGAAGAAAAGAAAGAAAAAAAGCGGAGCCAUUUGAAGCCAGAGCGGGCGCCUUGCAAGAGGCUGUGGAGUUGCAGACAGCUGCAGCCUAGAUACAAUGUGCGAUGAGAAAGGUCCCAGGUCUCCCAGGCAGAGCUCCGGCCUGCUUUGAAGUGUUGACAACACAUAAAAUUAAAAGCAUCACAAUGCGAAUUAUCACGUU
Molecule: long non-coding RNA, 600 nt
Organism: Sus scrofa (pig)
Lineage: Eukaryota; Metazoa; Chordata; Mammalia; Artiodactyla; Suidae
Source: RefSeq, a predicted model, not a curated record